RNAcentral lists this ribosomal RNA (466 nucleotides) under uncultured bacterium. Its description in RNAcentral is "partial 16S ribosomal RNA". It matches the Rfam family "Bacterial small subunit ribosomal RNA", at positions 28 to 507 of the family's 1533-position model. The record is from RNAcentral.
GACGAACGCUGGCGGCGUGCUUAACACAUGCAAGUCGAACGGAAAGGCCCUGCUUGCAGGGUACUCGAGUGGCGAACGGGUGAGUAACACGUGGGUGAUCUGCCCUGCACUUCGGGAUAAGCUUGGGAAACUGGGUCUAAUACCGGAUAGGAACCAUCUUUAGUGUGGUGGUUGGAAAGUUUUUUCGGUGUAGGAUGAGCUCGCGGCCUAUCAGCUUGUUGGUGGGGUAAUGGCCUACCAAGGCGGCGACGGGUAGCCGGCCUGAGAGGGUGUACGGCCACAUUGGGACUGAGAUACGGCCCAGACUCCUACGGGAGGCAGCAGUGGGGAAUAUUGCACAAUGGGCGCAAGCCUGGUGCAGCGACGCCGCGUGGGGGAUGAAGGCCUUCGGGUUGUAAACUCCUUUCGCUAGGGACGAAGCUUUGUUGUGACGGUACCUAGAUAAGAAGCACCGGCUAACUACGUG